Molecule: ribosomal RNA, 913 nt
Filed under: uncultured organism
Description: bacterial SSU rRNA
Rfam family: Bacterial small subunit ribosomal RNA
Source: RNAcentral
AGGAUGCAAGCGUUAUCCGGAUUUAUUGGGUUUAAAGGGUGCGUAGGCGGAAAAUUAAGUCAGUGGUGAAUCCUGCAGCUUAACUGUAGAAUUGUCAUUGAUACUGGUUUUCUUGAAUACAGUUGAGGUAGGCGGAAUGAGUAAUGUAGCGGUGAAAUGCUUAGAUAUUACUCAGAACACCAAUUGCGAAGGCAGCUUACUAAACUGUGAUUGACGCUGAGGCACGAAAGCGUGGGGAGCGAACAGGAUUAGAUACCCUGGUAGUCCACGCCGUAAACGAUGAUCACUCGUUGUUGGCAAUACACCGUCAGCGACUGAGCGAAAGUAUUAAGUGAUCCACCUGGGGAGUACGAUUGCAAGAUUGAAACUCAAAGGAAUUGACGGGGGCCCGCACAAGCGGAGGAACAUGUGGUUUAAUUCGAUGAUACGCGAGGAACCUUACCUGGGCUUAAAUGCAUAACGACGGAUCGGGAAACUGGUCUUUCUUCGGACGGAAUGCAAGGUGCUGCAUGGCUGUCGUCAGCUCGUGCCGUGAGGUGUCGGGUUAAGUCCCAUAACGAGCGCAACCCUCAUCAUUAGUUGCCAGCGGGUAAUGCCGGGGACUCUAAUGAAACUGCCGGUGUAAACCGAGAGGAAGGCGAGGAUGACGUCAAGUCAGCACGGCCCUUAUGUCCAGGGCUACACACGUGUUACAAUGGUCAGUACAAAGGGCAGCUACCAGGCAACUGGAUGCUAAUCUCAAAAGCUGGUCACAGUUCGGAUCGGAGUCUGCAACUCGACUUCGUGAAGUUGGAUUCGCUAGUAAUCGCGCAUCAGCCAUGGCGCGGUGAAUACGUUCCCGGGCCUUGUACACACCGCCCGUCAAGCCAUGGAAGCCGGGGUACCUGAGUUGUACCGAGAGGAUCGACCUAGG